AACAUCUAUUUUGAAAAUAUUUUUGCUCAGGUUGUGACUUAUUAUGUAUACUCUUAACCAUGCCUUCUACACAAAGGCUUAAAUUUGGACAACAUCCUAUUUGCCUUUUUCUUUUCUAAGUCCUGCUUUUGAUGUGUGUCGGAGCUCUUCUCACCCAACCCAAGAUCACAAACAUCUCACUUGUUUUAUUUUAUAGUUUUAAAUUUAUGUUUAGCUCUAUGAUGCCCUUGGAGUUAUUUUUUUAUAUCGUGUGAGGCGUGGUCCAAGAUUCUUUUUUAGAAUAGUUUUGUCCAAAUUUACCAUCACAAUUUUUUGAAAAUUUUUCACUAAAUUGCCUUUGCACUUUGUUAAAUAUAUGCCCAUCACUCGUUUCUGAGGGCCACACCAUCACCCAGUUGUUUCGAGAACAUUCCUCCCGUGCUGUGGUUAUAAAUUGUUACUCUUCCCCUCUCUCCCCUCACCCGAGAGCUAGUGAAUCUGACCAUGGUAAGCUUCGGAAAGUAGGAAUUGCUUCUCCAAACGUGGUUGGGAAAGCCCACUCAAGGGGCUUCAAGUCUCAAAAAUUGCCUUCAAAUCUGGAAGUUCAGUCUCCAGGAUUUCCCGGCGCUUUCUCCAUUUAUGCAUCUCCCCUAAAUUUAGGGCCACGGGAGGCAGAGCAGCUGACUGAGCCCCAGACACUGGGGGCUUAAGGAGCAGCAUUUUGGGAAGCUGACGUGCCCACUGUAGCAAGAACCUGCAAGAACACCUGUAGAAAAGCAAAUUAAGAACAAAACAGAACCAUGACUUUCCCAGCAUCACCAUCUAGAUGGCUGUAAACGACCCGGCUCCUUGUCUUCGCUGAAUCACGAAGGUCCGUCCAAGCAUAACGACUGUUUGAGGUAUUGGGGUGCAGCAGCAAGCAACAGGAAAGGUCACGUCUCUCAUGGAGGCCACAUCCUGGAUUAAAAUACAGGAGUUUAAAUGUCACAGAAGUAAUAAGAGGACCCCUGUGCGGAACAGAAGAAUCAGUUGAUGAGUCCUCUCCGUAAACACGGCAGCCUGGACCCCGGGGCCAGCUUCUUGUCUUCUCCAUCUGCUCAGAGAAAGAAAGGCAGGUGGAGACCAAGAACAGCACCCAACCCUGGGGAAUAUUGGGAGGUAGAAAUUGGAGGGGAGGACAGUGGUUUCUGUCUUAGCUGAGAGGGGUCCUGAACCUUUGCUUGCAAAGGAGAGUCUGCAAGAAAACCAAGCAGGGGCAUCUCGGUGCCUCCAUCAGUCUGGCUCUUGAUUUCGACUCAGGUCAUGAUCUCAGAGUCACUAUAUCAAGCCCUGUAUCGGACUCCACACUCAGCAAGGAGUCUGCUUGAGAUUCUCUCUCUCCCUUGGUCCCUCUCCUCACUCUCUCCUUCUCUCUCUAAAAAAUAAAUAAGUAAAUCUUUAAAAAAAGAAAAAAAGAAAAGAAAGAAACCCAACUGUAGCCUGGGGCCCAAGGGGCUGAGCAGUGGGGGCGCCAGGGCCAGAAGGACCACGGUUGAUCGCCAGACCGUACCCAGAGUGGAGACACUGGGAGAAACAAAACAGAGCAAAAUGAUUUUUUUUAAACUAGAAUAAAUCUCGAAGUGGUAAGAACAGAUUGAACUCAUGAAGCAAGAACAUGUGGCUCUAAAAGGAAACAUUCAAAGAAUAAAAAUUAUUUUUUAACAACCUAAAAGUCUAAAAAUUCUAAUUGAAUGGUUACAAGCUACAGUUAAAGAAAUUUACCAGAAGUAAAUUUACCCAAAGUCAGGGCUGCAAGAAACAGAAAUGGAAAAUAUGAAAAAGGUAAUACAGGAUGAUCUCUCUAAAGAUUCCAGGUAAACAAUGUGUUACAAAGUUAAAAUAACACAAAAGAAAAAAAAAACAGGAAGACAAAAGUCAUAGAAAAAUUUUCAUAAUAGAAGCAUAUGAGUUUCUAAAUCUUUCUAGAUUUUCUGCUAACAAAUGCUGAACGAAGAGUUUAAAAAUGACCCAAAGCCCCCACUGUAAAUAUUUUGGAAUAUUGUCAGUAAUGAUGAGAUCAUAAACUCUUCCUUCCAGAGAAAAGGAGAAAAGAUGAUCACAUGGGUAAUUAUUGGAGAAUCUGAACGGCACAGAACUUCUCAACAGCAGCUCCAAGACAAUAGUUCGAUGAACCGUCUGUCGCCCAUUGCUCUGCUCGGCGUAGGUAACGUGGACAAAGUCUUCAUGCUACACCCUGAAUAUUUACGCACCACCAACCGGAGGGAGUGCAGUGUGAGGAUGGAGUCUCAGGACGAAGGUAGAAGGGGCCUUGGGGAAACAACUGGUUUGGGAUGUUUUUGGAGGACUGGAGCAGAGAGAGACAGAGACAGAGAGAAACAGACAGAGAGACAGAGACAGAGAGACAAAGAAGCAGGAGUGAAAGGCAGACAGACACGCAGGCCUUGUGAGUCCAGCAAGGCCUGCUCCUGCCCUCCCUGACACCUCGACUCACACUCAGCCACGGAGUCAACAGCCCUGGAGUCCUGGGAUCCACCCGGAGCCCCGUCUCAUCCCUCCAGGGGCUGGUUUGAGGGGAGCAGUUGAGGGAGGGAAGGAUGAAGGGUCAGGUCCCCAGGGCCUGCGAGGAGGAGAAGGAGAGACCUUCCCAACUGAAGAGAGUCCUGCCUGCAUUACAGAACUAAGCCUUCGACUGUGAGUUUUGUUUGGUGAGAAGGAGGCAGGGGGAUUGCUUUCAGUGGCUGCACAAGACAUCAUGGCCUGUGGUUGCCCAGACGCAGCAAGGAUCAGACGGGAGCUGCAGUGCGGGGAGGUGGGGGUCUGCCAGAAGGGGGUCCCCUCACCCGCCCCACAGCCACACUAUGGGAGCUCUGCAGGUGGAAGUGCUGCGUGUGGGCCGAGGGGUGAAUCAUGUGUGAGAGCAAAGCAGGUAACAACACCUGAACACAACACUCGAGGAAAACAGCAAUUCUAGAAAGAAACUGGAAUGUUAAAUUUGGUGGAAUUUACGUCCCCCGUGCAUAGUGACUCCCUUGCCUCCAGGCAGGUUUCAGAGUUCCAACCGGUGUAGACAGUGGACCUGCUGUCCCCAGGCCGUGUGCCCAGCGGCCACGCUCCGACCCACACCUCCCCCUCAGUGGCCACAUGGGCUCCGCCUGGCUCCACUCUGCGCUACGAACACAGCAGGGUCCCCCCAUGGGCUGGAUGUGGUGUGAUUCUGGGGGGGGGCAGAGCGGGGGGCUUUUGCUUUGAGGUUCCAUGAAUGAUUAUGGGCUAUUCCUUUCUCAGAGAAAAGUGUGUUAGUCAGGCCAUCUUACUUCUCGUAUUGUGGUGCUCUGACGUCUGGAGCCUCGUGGUCCCGGAGGGACCGCCCUUCUCAGGACUGGGUAAUCCCCGGAGAUGGGAAACACUUCUUUUAUAGGCAAACCAACCAAUGGGGAGCCUACCCCACACCCCUCCUCUGUGGGGCCCCUCGCUCCAGGCCACGGCGCCCCUGCCCUAAACACUGCAGCGGACCACUAGCGACGGCCCCUGUACCCGACCUGAGGGAUUACUCGCACUAGCUGACCCUUAGCCUGCCCGCCCUGCCUGCCUGCUGCUUCCCGCAGAAGCCGCAGUGAGGUCUCCAGCCUCCGCGAGGUCUCCAGCCUCCGGGUCCCCGCCUCUCCCGCUGACUUGCACCAGUGCCUCCCGUGUGGAACCCUGGGCGUGGGAGCCCCUCUGCUUGGACACCGUGAGGAGUGACCCAUCAAGGCCAGUCAUCUCUUGAUCUGUUAGCUGGACUAUACUGAUUUAUAAUAAUUCGACCUACAUCAACAACAAUAAACCUGGCCCAGCCCUUCGGGGAUGCUGAGGACGGACCCUUCCUAGCUAGCGGGCGGAUCCCAGUCCCGCCAGGAACCUGAGAGGGUCUGCAACAGCAGCACGGCCCACACGUGCUGGGCGUCAGAAGAAGGCCGUGGUGCACUUUGCUGGUGUUGCACUCACACUGUUCCACUCAGUGCUCGUCACAACGCUGCCAUGUCUGUUGUCUUGUCUCCAUCACACGGAAGAAAGUUAGGGAUGCGCUAAAGCCACACCAUUAGGAAGGGGCAGGUGCUGAGCUUUCACUGACUCCAAGUGUGGUCACAUGACCGUGAAACUUACACGGGGGCCCUGGGACCACUGGGAGCCAUGGGCCUAGAGAAUCCAUUUCACAGAACUCACCAUGAAUCCACAUUCCCACCGGAGGUCUGCACUUGCACAAGGACAUCGGGAUAGAAGGAACAUCAGAGUAAAAGGGGAAGAGAUAAG
Molecule: long non-coding RNA, 4269 nt
Organism: Ailuropoda melanoleuca (giant panda)
Lineage: Eukaryota; Metazoa; Chordata; Mammalia; Carnivora; Ursidae
Exons: 4
Source: RefSeq, a predicted model, not a curated record